AGUGAACGCUGGCGGUAGGCCUAACACAUGCAAGUCGAACGGCAGCACAGUAAGAGCUUGCUCUUACGGGUGGCGAGUGGCGGACGGGUGAGGAAUACAUCGGAAUCUACUUUUUCGUGGGGGAUAACGUAGGGAAACUUACGCUAAUACCGCAUACGACCUACGGGUGAAAGCAGGGGAUCUUCGGACCUUGCGCGAUUGAAUGAGCCGAUGUCGGAUUAGCUAGUUGGCGGGGUAAAGGCCCACCAAGGCGACGAUCCGUAGCUGGUCUGAGAGGAUGAUCAGCCACACUGGAACUGAGACACGGUCCAGACUCCUACGGGAGGCAGCAGUGGGGAAUAUUGGACAAGGGGCGCAAGCCUGAUCCAGCCAUACCGCGUGGGCGAAGAAGGCCUUCGGGUUGUAAAGCCCUUUUGUUGGGAAAGAAAAGCAGCAGGUUAAUACCCCGCUGUUCUGACGGUACCCAAAGAAUAAGCACCGGCUAACUUCGU
This 491-nucleotide ribosomal RNA is filed under the name uncultured bacterium. RNAcentral's name for it is "partial 16S ribosomal RNA". It matches the Rfam family "Bacterial small subunit ribosomal RNA", at positions 29 to 506 of the family's 1533-position model. The record is from RNAcentral.